GAUUUCGAAAAAUUACGAAAUUUAUUUUCUAAAAAUUUCAAAUACUCUAGAUCAUAUUUAACGGAGUGGAUCGUUGAUUUGGAAGCUUCAUCAUUGAAAAUAACUUAUGAGUACAAACGGCUCUAUACUCAUAAGAGUAUAGAAGCCCUAGCAUAUAUAUAUAUAUAUAUAUAUAUAUAUAUAUAGAGUGAGGCUACUAUGCUAUCGGAAGUACGGAGCCUUCCGUGCUUCCAGCUUGUUUUCGAUGUUGCGACUUUCGAAUCGUCGAUCGGCUCCGCUAAACUUGAUCUAGAGUAUUUGAAGUACCUAGAAAAUAAAUUUUAUGAUUUUAUGAUAUCAUUUGCCUAGUGAACGAAGGGGCUCAAAAUCAACGGCUAAAAAUAAAAAUCUUACAAAAUGUAAUAAUAUGACAUUAAAAUUUUAAAUCAAAGAUAUUGAUCUUGUUUUAUAUAGUAUAAAGAAUUUUCUAUCAAAAUUUUACGUGAUUUGGAUAUUUCUACAUCGUUAAACUUGCAAAUGGCUCACUACGGCCAUUGAAAUUUGUUGAUUUUGAGCCCAUUCGAUCACUAGGCAAAUGGUAUCGAAAAAUAAUAAAGUUUAUUUUCUAGGUACUCCAAAUACUCUAGAUCAAGUUUAACGGAGCCGAUCGACGAUUCGAAAGACGCAACAUCGAAAAUGAGCUGGAAGCACGGAAGGCUCCGUGCUUCCGAUAGCAUAGUAGCUCUCUCUCUCUCUCUCUCUCUCUCUCUCUCUAUAUAUAUAUAUAUAUAUAUAUAUAUAUAUAUAUAGGGUAGAGCUACUAUGCUAUCGAAAGCAUAGACGAUCUGAUGCUUCCAACUUUUUGACCAUUGGAUAAAAAAUUAUACGGUUGGGAUGAUUGCGGUACCCCUAGAGUUGAGUAGUACCCCUAGAGUUGAGUAGUACCCCUAGGGUUGAGUGGUCCCCACAGGGUAAUAGUAUUAAUCCAAAGGUUAUAAAUAAUCAAGGGGGUUGAUCUAAGGGCAAAAAAGUCGGAAGCACCAGAUCCCCUAUGCUUCCGAUAGCAUAGUAGCUCUACUCUCUCUCUCUCUCUCUCUCUCUCUCUCUCUCUCUCUCUAUAUAUAUAUAUAUAUAUAUAUUGCCAACGAAAAAAAAUGUUUACAGAAAAGUGGAUGCCACUAAGGUGUCUGAUCGUAAGGGAAACUAACUUAAAACUACUCCUAGAAAAGCAAAAAAUGUAAGAAAAAGAGAGAUUACAAGUAGACUACUGCUAAAAAGAGAAAAAGUGUAUGAAAAUAAAUUGGUCUUCUUGUUCUCAAGGAAAAAAAGACCAUUUGUCAGGCAUCUUCUGACUUGUAGGUUAUGAAACCCUAGGAUCUAUCUACAUAAUAUCACACCUAGAGGGGGGUGAAUAGGCGUAUAGCCCAAAAUCGCAAAUCUCAAUGCAAUAAAAAAUAAAUGCGAAAAAUAAAAAUAGCAUACCAAGAUUUACGUGGGAAAACUCCAAUUUGGAGAAAAACCCACGGGACCAACAUGCGAAAAAAUAAUUCACUGAGAGAAAAGUUUACAAGGUGAUUACUGACUCUACGGACUCGACCUCUCUUAACUUUCUAUGGAUCUCGCGCAAGCCUCCGGGUUGUCCACACUCUCACGUUCGAAUCCACGAACGCCACACACAUAUCCAAAUCCACAAACGUCACUCGAAUCCACGAGCCUACGACUUGAAUCCACGGACCGCCUUGAUCACGCCGAAUCCACGACGCCGCACAUGAAGAGUAUCAUGUUUCUAUGGUGAUGCUUUACUUAGAGAGUCGUUGAAGAACUAGAGAAGGAACUCUCAGCAAAGCUUAGAUCAAUUCGACAUAUAGAUAUUGAAUUCAAUAACUCGAAUUGAACUAAAAGAGGCUAAUUUGUGGAAAAUAGGUUUAGAACGAAAAUCUAGCACUAGGGUUACUCUAUCAUGUAUUCUCGUGCUUCUCAUACAAUUAGAAAACCCUAAUAGCUUAUUUAUAGACUUUAGAAUCAAUUAGAGUCGGAUUAGAAGCUAAAUUAGAAAAUUUUACAUUGAGUACCAGUACUCGAGAGUUGGUACUGGUACCUUAGGACGAUUCAGAAAUUUCCUGACGUUGAGUACUAGUACGCGGCCGAUGUAAUACCGGUACCCGGCCGAUGCAGUGCGGGUACUUGGUUGUGGUACCGGUACACAGUGCAAUUCCCAGAAAUGUAGCUCUCGGGUAUUGAGGUACCAAAGUGAGGUACCGGUACACAGUAUUAAAACUUGGUUUUUCAAGUACGGUUUUGAGGAACUGAAAUCUAGUACCAGUACACAAUAUCAAAUAUUGUUAUAUUCAAUUUAAAAGUUCCAAAACCCACUUCUAAUCCUUUAAUCAUUGAUUUAUAUGAUUCUAAUGUCAUAAAUAAGUAUGAAUCACCAUAAAAAUAUUUAAAAGCUUGCCUGAGCAUCGUGAUUCAUGAAGUGAGAUGUUUCUGAGUUCUCGAAAUCUCGGAUUCUUCAAUCUUCGACAAUCACACACCGAACCCUUCAAGACUCCGACUCAAAUCACGAAACUUGCCAACACAAAAUUCCUAACAUGACUAUUUAUAGUUCUGCUCGUUAUUUAUUCAGUUACUCCCCACUAUCGACUAUGUCCCUACUUCUGCGGGCCACUCUUGGCCGAUCCUAGCCGCAUCAACUUUAACUGAUUUUUGAUUUUUUGCGUGCAUUCUUUUCAAAUCCUGGUGCAUCACAUGUCACUUUAUAUCUGGCUUUAGAAGCCAUUUUCGUGGUGUGUUCUGGCUCACCAUGUGGCACAAUUUUUUAUUGCGCUAACAAUGCCCCCCCGGCAGCUCCUGAACAUUUGUUCAGGUGGCUGGCGCCAUCUUUUUUAGCGGCUCAGAUUACAAGGCCAUCAGUUAAAAUUCCGGAAGUGCUCUGCACAAUCCAUUCUUCUUAGCUGUCCUUUUCUUUCGUUCUUUAACAGCUACGAUCUUUUACAUUCUUUUGUCUCAUUUAGGGCAUUAAUUAGGUCAUUUAUGGUUGCCGUCACUUCGCUAACAUGAUCUAUUUUUUGAAAUUCCCUCCGACGGCUUCGCUUUUCUUGCGCCCCUUCGUCUUCUUCUCUUUCAUUCUCCUUUUUUUUUGAGGCUUUUGUUCUUUUGCCUUCUUUUUCCCCCUUUCUCGAUUCCAAUUUUUCUAAUGGCCACAAUCCCUUCUCUUCUAUUAAUUCCCUCCCUCGAUUAUACUCUUCCCAGGCCAUAUGUUGAAUCAAAUCCUUUUCGCUUUAUACUCGGUCCUUUUUUUGUAGAACAUCCAAUGCCCGAGGCUUUUUCCUUUUCAACCGAUGGUCUUCCUUUGAUGGCCAAUGUCAUUAAUCUUCCAUCUUAGUAUACUUUGAGGUCAUCAAGAAAGAGCCUUCGAACUUGGCCUAGCGUCUCAGACGCUUAUUUGGUCUGGUAAAGUGUCACGCCCCGGGACCCAGCGGAAGCCCGCCCGGCGCGUGUCCAGACCCGCCAUACGUCUAAAACGUAUAAGGCNCUGGGGGACCGGUCUCUCCUAUCAGGGACCGGUCUCCUAGAGUAAAACUCUCAGGACUCAGCCGAAACUCUCGAGAUCGAACUUUUAGGCCGGUAUACCAUCGACGGCCCUCCACCAUGUGUGGAAAAGUUCGGAAUACAAAUCGAACACUCGAACCUCGCAAUUUGCAAAGGUCCAGUGUGCUACAUAAAGCAGGGUUGAGGAAUCCUCUGCCGACCUUUGACGCGAAGUUGGAAUUUAUGAGGCCAUCCAACUCUCAAAGAUUCCUCCUUAAGCCGAUAGUCUUUUUCUUGCUGCGAUUCUAUAUUUCUGGUCUCCAGCUUCUAAAACCUUGUUUUUUUGGACUAGACCUUUCACCCCAACUCUUCUCGAUGUAGCAACGAUUGUUGGUCUCCGUUCUCACGGCAUCAGCCUUUCUAUGGCCUAUAAUCCUGUUGGAGUGGUGGAGUUCGAGACCUAUCUGGAUCCAAAGGUUGACCUCGCCUAUACCAAAUUUAUGUAGAAGUUCGCGGGUCAGGCUCCUACUCCGAUCACCAAGAAAGAACAUACUGCUUUUCUCCUCUACUGGUUGUGUCGCAAUUUUUUUUGUACUCGUUCGCAGAAGAUCAACCGAAAUUUCGUCCCCAUCACCAUCGCAUUAGCCAAUGACGAGAAGCUAGCCCUAGGUAUAUAUUUUUUUUCUUUUGUUUAUCGAGAAAUUUUUGAGCUAAUUAAGCCGCUGUCGCCGAAGAAGUAGGUUUUACUUCCACCCACUUGGUAAAGUAGUUUACGGCCACUUUCAAGAAUUUAUGUCCAGCCGAAGAGUUAGACUGAAUUUCUCUAAUUAAAUCUGUUAUGGAUUUGGAUUGGCAAGUUUUGUGAUUUGAGUCGGAGUCUUGAGGAAGGGUUCAGUUCGAUAUUUCGAAGAUUGAAGAAUUCGAGAUUCCAAAGUACUCAAAAACAUCUCACCGUAUAAAUCACGAUGCUCAGAUAAGUUUUUAAAUAUUUUUAUAGUGAUUCAUAUCUAUUUAUGACGUUAGAAUUAUAUAAACUAAUGUUACAUAGAUUAGAAGUGGUUUUUGGAACUUUUAAAUUGAAUAUAACAAUAUUUUUAAUUGAGUACCAGUACUAGGUUCCAGUUCCUCAAAACCGGAUUGAAAAAUCUGAGUUUUUAUAUUAUGUACCAGUACCCAUUUGGUUCCUCAAAAUCAAGCGAAACAAUACUGGAAUUGUAUUGUGUACCAGUAUCGAGCUCUAAUACCGGUACUGCAUCGGCCGAGUACUGGUACUGCAUUGGCCGAGUACCAGUACUCAGCAUUAGAAAAUUUUAGUUUCGUCAUGGUAUACCGGUACCCACACUCGAGUACAGGUACUUAAUGUAAAAUUUUCUAAUUAAACUUCUAAUCCUACUCUAAUUGAUUAUAAAGUCUAUAAAUAUGACAUUGGGAUUCUCUAAUUAAACUUUUCCACCAUAUUGUCAUUCUAAACCCUAAAAUUUUCUAAUUAAACUUCUAACCCUAAAGGCUAGAUUUUUCAUUCUAAACCCUUUUCCACCAUAUUGUCACGUCCCAGAUUACCAAAGUGCCCCGGGCACGCUAACAGACCCGUUGUAUACAUAGAAAUUUUUCGUAUAUACGAAGUGAAAGCAAAACCUGCAAACAGAUAUAAGCAACAACAAGAAGUAUAGAGCUGCUAAAACAAAAAACUCAUGUAUACAUAAAGAGCCCACUAUACAUACAACUCCAUAAGUACAACCAAAACUCAGAGAGUAUUACUAAACAUAACUGUAUGUACAUGGUAAUAUCUAACUACCUCUGUAGGGGUGCUCCUCUAGUAAAAGACCAGGGAAGGUAGGGGUCUAGCUCGUGACUCUCUUACCUCGAUCGGAAUCAACAGUAGUAGCAACGAACGACUCUGCAAAAAGGUGGCAAUAACAAGGUGUGAGAACUACUGCAAAAUAGAGUAGACCUCAGUGGUUACCAUCACCGACCCUAACGGCCUACCCACUAAGUCUACAGUAAAGAUAUACAAAGGAUAGUAAAAUAAGCUGGAGAAACUCUACAGCUAUAUGCCACUAGACUACCGCUAUCCAAACUAUGUUCUCUGUAGACAUAGAAAUGCAUCAACAGUUACAACUCAAUCACACUGACCCAAUCUGAAUGGACCGUCAACUAGCCAGUCUAGCUUGUAUCCAAGCUAUACCGCACACCACCUACGGGGGUGGCCGGUCUAAGAACACUUUCCAAACAGGACUGCUGCGAUAUCAACACAAGUAAAGCCUUACUCCGGAGUGGCACUCGUGGGAGCGAUCCAACUGAGUGUACAAGCGUGUCUCUUUCGAGCUCAAUCAGGCUCACACUAAUCUAAGUAUCCAAAGCACACUAACAGCGGUGAUACAAAAGAAAAUUAACUCCUGAAGCUAAUUCUGUUAACAUUUCGAAAAGUGUCAGGUGUAGGUUUAACAAGUUUUCUCUCACGUCCAAUUCCAGUUCAGCAUAUAAAACUUUAUCUAAAAUUAUUAAAUUAUGCUCCAAAUUUAGAUUUUAUAUAAAACAUGCAAAUUCACGAAUUCGAGCUACUAAACAUGAUGAUCAAAACAAGAAGAUGCGUGCUGACAAAUCUAUGACUUAGGAAGAAUUUGACAAUUUCGGUAAACAUUAACCCACCUCCAAUACUCAUCCAACGCCGGCAAGAAGUCGAUAGAAGCAACCCGCACUAGAUUAACCUCUAACGGAAUCAACCGGGGUGCGCGAACGAUUCUCCAAAGACAAGGAGAAUAAAACGAGAUCAAUCCUCAAAAUCACAAAGGAAAAUAAGAAGAGAAGCUAGAGAGAGAAAGAGGAGAAGCUACCUGUUUUCUCCAAGCUUCUAACACAAAGAGACUGGCUGGGGAUCGAUUCGGAUUUAUCGAUAGCAAAAUGACCAAAAGACUCCUUACCAACUCAAUUCUGCCGCCCGAGUACCGAUACUCAACUUGGGCACUGGUACCCCGCACUCGGACAGCAGCCGUGUACCGGUACUGGCCCAAUGCAGUAUCGGUACCCAGUCCCAGUAUCGGUAUUCACUAAUAGGUACCAGUACGCAACACCAAGUUGUACAAACCCGAGAGCACACUUAUAUGUAAUCCCUCUGGGGUACCGGUACUCCUCUUAGGUACUGGUACACAACACUCAACAUCCUGCUUUUGUAGAUAUCAGUGUCCAAACUCCAACUCUCACAGCUCUGAGUAUGUUUUCGCGUCUAUUUCGCGCCAAAACGACUUCGACUCGUCCUGACACUCUACUGAUGUGUCGACAAGCCACUGAUGCUAUAGUCAGUAAGACAGCUAAGCCCCAGAGACACUACAUUCUCCGCCACGAUAAAAAGUUUCAUCCUCAAAAAGUCAUACCUCAAUACGAUACCUCAAACAAGUAGGGGUAGGACUCCCGCAUCACAACCUCCGGCUUUCAAUUCACCUCAUGCUCCUCGUGAUUACUCCACUGCACUUUCACGUGCGGUAUGACUGGUUGCGCAAUUAUUUCGUCUCACGAUCAAGAAUCCGUAUCGGUCGUUCCUCGUACCUCAGGUUCUCGCCUUACUCAAGUGGAGUGAAGUCAAUCAUGUAUGAGGGGUCAAACAUGUAUCUCCUCAAAGCCGAGACGUGAAACACAUCGUGAAUGCCAGAAAGUCGAGGUGGUAGUGCAAUCCUGUAAGCUACUGGCCCGAUUCGCUCCAAAACCUCGAAAGGGCCAACAAAUCGUAGGCUGAGCUUUCCACGAACUCCAAAUCUACGAAUCCCUCUGGAUUGCGAGACUUUCAGGAAAAUAUGGUCACCAACCUGAAACUCCAAGUCUCGUCUCCUGGUAUCAUCAUAGCUUCUUUGUCGACUCUCAGCAGUCUCAAGGUGUCGCCGCACAACUCUGACCUUUUUCUCUGCUUCCAACAGAAUAUUAGGGCCCAAAGGCUUCCUCUCACCUACAUCACUCUAGUGCAAGGGUGAUCGACACUUUCGUCCAUACAACGCUUCAAACGGAGGCAUUCGAAUACUCGCUUGAUAGCUGUUGUUGUACGCAAACUCAUCCAAUCUCAAGUGUCGAUGCUAUCCACCUCCAAAAUCCAGGACACAAGCUCUCAACAUGUCCUCUAGAGUCUGAAUGGUCCGCUCUGACUGACCAUCUGCCUGUGGAUGAAAUGCUGUGCUGAAGUGAAGCUGCGUAUCGAAAGCCACCUGAAGGCUCCUCUACAAAUGCGAGACGAACCUCGGGUCUUUAUCUGAUACAAUUGAGGUAGGCACACUAUGUAAUCUCACUAUUUCAUUCAAAUACAAUUGGGCAAGUCGCUCCCUAGACCAAAUGGUCUGCACCGGUAGGAAGUGGGCAGACUUGGUCAGCCUAUCCAUUAUUACCUAGAUAGCAUCAAAUUCACCCUGUGCUCUUGGUAAACCCACGAUGAAAUCCAUAGUGAUCUGAUCCCAUUUCCACUCUUUCACUGUAAGAUUCUGAAGUUUGUCAGCAGGUACACGAUGCUCUGCCUUCACUUAUUGGCAAGUUAGACACUGAGCCACAUAUCUUCCAAUGUCUCUCUUCAUCCCAUUCCACCAGAAGUGUGCCUUCAAAUCCUUAUACAUCUUAGUUCCACCAGGGUGAACUGUAUAAGGUGAGUAAUGAGCGUCUCUUAAAAUCUCCUAUCGGAUCUCAGAAUCUAUAAGCACACACAAUCGUUUUCUGUACCGCAGUACUUCCGAACUGUCAACAACAAAGUCCCCUAUCUGUCCCCUCUCUCUCUGCUCUCGGAUCCUUAACAAAUGAGGGUCUACACUAUGUUUCUCUCUGAUCC
RNAcentral lists this long non-coding RNA (8308 nucleotides) under Ananas comosus (pineapple). Its description in RNAcentral is "long non-coding RNA (ACOM_LNC005667)". The record is from RNAcentral. Lineage: Eukaryota; Viridiplantae; Streptophyta; Magnoliopsida; Poales; Bromeliaceae.